AGCGAACGCUGGCGGCAGGCCUAACACAUGCAAGUCGAACGGAUCCUUCGGGAUUAGUGGCGGACGGGUGAGUAACACGUGGGAACGUGCCCUUUGGUUCGGAGCAACUCAGGGAAACUUGGGCUAAUACCGGAUGUGCCCUUCGGGGGAAAGAUUUAUCGCCAUUGGAGCGGCCCGCGUCUGAUUAGCUAGUUGGUGAGGUAACGGCCCACCAAGGCGACGAUCAGUAGCUGGUCUGAGAGGAUGAUCAGCCACACUGGGACUGAGACACGGCCCAGACUCCUACGGGAGGCAGCAGUGGGGAAUCUUGCGCAAUGGGCGAAAGCCUGACGCAGCCAUGCCGCGUGAAUGAUGAAGGUCUUAGGAUUGUAAAAUUCUUUCAGCGGGGACGAUAAUGACGGUACCCGCAGAAGAAGCUCCGGCUAACUUCGUG
This 433-nucleotide ribosomal RNA is filed under the name uncultured bacterium. RNAcentral describes it as "partial 16S ribosomal RNA". It matches the Rfam family "Bacterial small subunit ribosomal RNA", at positions 29 to 507 of the family's 1533-position model. The record is from RNAcentral.